This 440-nucleotide ribosomal RNA is filed under the name uncultured bacterium. Its description in RNAcentral is "partial 16S ribosomal RNA". It matches the Rfam family "Bacterial small subunit ribosomal RNA", at positions 338 to 795 of the family's 1533-position model. The record is from RNAcentral.
CCUACGGGGGGCAGCAGUAGGGAAUUUUGCGCAAUGGGCGAAAGCCUGACGCAGCAACGCCGCGUGAUCGAGACGCCCUUCAGGGGGUGAAGAUCUGUCAGGUGGGACGACACUUGACGGUACCCACAGAGGAAGCACCGGCUAACUCCGUGCCAGCAGCCGCGGUAAUCCGGGGGGUGCAAGCGUUGUCCGGAAUCAUUGGGCGUAAAGAGUUCGUAGGCGGAACGUAAAGUCUGGUGUUAAAGGCAGAGGAUCAACUUCUGUAGGGCACUGGAUACUUGCGAGCUAGAAUGCGGUAGAGGUAAGGGGAAUGCGUGGUGUAGCGGUGAAAUGCUUAGAUAUCAGGAGGAACAUCGGUGGCGUAAGCGCUUUACUGGGCCGUAAUUGACGCUGAGGAACGAAAGCCAGGGUAGCAAAUGGGAUUAGAUACCCCGGUAGUC